UCCGGUGUCGAUGCGUCUUCUUGAAACACCCGUUCCCAUCCCGAACACGACGGUUAAGAGGAAGACGGCCGAAGGUACUAUGCUGGUAACGGUAUGGGAGAAUAGGCGGGCGCCGGAU
Molecule: ribosomal RNA, 118 nt
Organism: Lachnospiraceae bacterium
Lineage: Bacteria; Bacillati; Bacillota; Clostridia; Lachnospirales; Lachnospiraceae
Source: Rfam